CGGAGGAAAGAAACUAACAAGGAUUCCCCUCAGUAACUGCGUAGUGAAGCGGGAAAAGCUCAAAUUUAAAAUCUGGUGGUCUUUGGCUACCCGAGUUGUAAUCUAGACAAGCAUUAUCCGCACUGGACCAUGUAUAAAUCUCCUGGAAUGGAGUGUCAUAGAGGGUGAGAAUCCCGUCUUUGACAUGGACUACCAGAGCUUUGUGAUAUGCUCUCAAAGAGUCGAGUUGUUUGGGAAUGCAGCUCUAAAUGGGUGGUAAGUUCCAUCUAAAGCUAAAUAUUGGCAAGAGACCGAUAGCGAACAAGUACCGUGAGGGAAAGAUGAAAAGCAACUUUGGAAAGAGAGUUAAACAGUACGUGAAAUUGUUGAAAGGGAAACGCUUGAAGUCAGUCAUAUUGGCUGGGGAUCAACCUUGCAGUAAUGCUUGGUGUACUUCCUGGUUAAUAGGUCAGCAUCAAUUUUGACCAAUGGAAAAAGUUUAAGGGAAUGUGGCAUCUUCGGAUGUGUUAUAGCCCUUGGCCAUAUACAUCGAUUGGGAUUGAGGAACUCAGCAUGCCGCAAGGCCAGGUUUU
This 572-nucleotide small RNA is filed under the name Entoloma sp. No246. Its description in RNAcentral is "eukaryotic LSU rRNA". It matches the Rfam family "Eukaryotic large subunit ribosomal RNA", at positions 51 to 619 of the family's 3401-position model. The record is from RNAcentral. Lineage: Eukaryota; Fungi; Basidiomycota; Agaricomycetes; Agaricales; Entolomataceae.